UCGCAAUGCCCGAAAGGGUGACGAAGCGACGCCGCGUGCGGGAAGAAGGCCUUCGGGUUGUAAACCGCUGUCGGGAGUUAAGAAAUGUAAGGAUGUUAAUAGCAUCUUUGCUUGACUAAGGCUCCGGAGGAAGCCACGGCUAACUCUGUGCCAGCAGCCGCGGUAAUACAGGGGCGGCAAGCGUUGUUCGGAAUUAUCGGGCGUAAAGAGCACGUAGGCGGCUAUGUAAGUCGGUUGUGAAAGCCUUCCGCUCAACGGGAGAACAGCAUCCGAUACUGCAUGGCUUGAGUGCGGGAGGGGAGAGUGGAACUUCUGGUGGAGCGGUGAAAUGCGUAGAUAUCAGAAGGAACGCCGGCGGCGAAAGCGGCUCCCUGGCCCAUAACUGACGCUGAGUGUGCGAAAGCUAGGGGAGCAAACGGGAUUAGAUACCCCGGUAGUCCUAGCCGUAAACGAUGGGCACUAAGUAGAGGGGUUUU
This 476-nucleotide ribosomal RNA is filed under the name uncultured bacterium. Its description in RNAcentral is "bacterial SSU rRNA". It matches the Rfam family "Bacterial small subunit ribosomal RNA", at positions 366 to 832 of the family's 1533-position model. The record is from RNAcentral.